UAGGUGUUCACUAAAUGAUACUUCCUAUUAUUAUAGUGACUACCAUUUUAGUUUUUUCAGAUGAAAGUGUUAGGUCACCUGGAACCUGUCAGGGUGAACUAUUCAACACACAGCCUUUUUGAUCUGUGACAGAUCUAUUUGCCAAUUUCAGUCUUUCCACUGCCAGCCAUCCAGAUCUUACCAGGCUUCUCUGUUUUGCCAGACCUGUCUGGUUCCUUGGGAAGUUUCCCGUGCCCACCUGAUGGGAAUCAGGCAGCAUGAGAAGCAGGGCCAGCUGCAGCAGAGGUAAUAUCAGGAACAACUGGGCCACAAGCACUGUCCUUAGCUGCUCCAGAAUGAUUGGAAGGAAGUGUGCAUUGGAAGGAUGUCGCAAGGCACAGAGGAAUGGUGGUGCUGUGGAGCAGGCAACUAACUAGGCCAUUAUUACCUCUGGGGCCAGAGUUGGGGGUCAGGGGUUUGUGUUGACACCUGCUUGUGUUCACAGAGAAUAACAUAAAUGGAGAAACGGUGGCCUUAGCACUCACUUAAGGAAGAAGUAACUUUGAUAAGAACCAGGUGGGUCUCUUUCUCCUUAUUGGUUUCAUGUUUUUCAGAUCUAACUCUCUCCAGCUGUGCCCUGCCAGGGGCACCUGUUUGAGACCCUUUGUGUUGUGAUGCUCCAAGUUACUGCAUGAGUCCUGGGCUCUUCCCUUUCGAGACUCCCAUGGUGCUCUCUGGGGACUAGUCUUUGUGGCAAAGGCCUUUGUCUGGGGGACGCCUCUUUGCUCAUUCUAGGGCCCGGUGUCGCAUGCCAUCUUUUCAUCUUCAUUUUUUCAACUUUAGUCAGGGCUGUAUCUUUGAAACACAUGUGCAUCCACCCUUAGAUAGUUUAUCAUUAACUGCAAAUAACUUCAGAUAGACUUCAGGGUAGUUAUUUACAUUAUUAUAAAGGAUUCCUCAGUUUGAAGUAUUCGCUAUGGCUGCUAUUAAGUAGAGAAAUUCUCUGGUGUAUUUGAGUGUGUAUACAGAUCAAUAACAGCUUGAAAGAGGUUUGGUUCAUUGCUAAAGAACUUUUAGCUAAAGGUGCAGAUGCGAUCAGAAAUAGAGAUAUAAACGCAUAACAGUUACUGAAAUUUGUUUAGUCCUCUAGCUUUGCAAAGCUCAUCACACAUUUUCUCUUGUGAUAUAUGAGAUCUCCAGCCCUGAUCCUUUGCAGGAUGGAAACACUGCCACAUACAUUUCUAAUGAGGAAUGAGGUGGCUGGAAAUUGCCACCAUGAGCCCCUCCAGUUGCACCAGGGCCACGACCUCUUAUGAAUCCAUUUUUAAGGUCUUCAUCGAUGGCUCGUGACCCUGUCUCCAUCCUCCCAUUCUUCUCCCAAUAUUUACCUUUCUAGAUUUCAAGGCUUUGCUCUUCUCCCUUAAAUGGUUCACAUCCUCAGAUUUAGGCCAGAAAAAAUAGGAUUUAAUUUCCUUUCCAAACUCUUGUGUGGAGCAUUUCUUGAAGAUUGCAGUAGUGCAAGGCUGGGUAUUCCCUGAAGUAGCCCUUCAUGUCGCCGUCUGACUGAGGAGUGGCAGGCUGGCAAUCCCAUCUCCUCUCCUUCCUGCUUUCCCCACCUGAGAAGAGUUGUGCAGGCUGGAGGGUGGAGCCGUGCCUCCCGCUGGCUCCGUGGGCCGCCUGGAGAGCCAGCGACCUUCCUCCGGGGCUCCUGAUAUCGAGCUGGGGAAUGAGUAAUUGGGACUCGCCAAAGUGUUUAAACACCAGAAUUGAAAUUAAUGUCCCCUCAUUGCUGGCUACGCUGACAAUACAUUACAGCAAACACCUUCCCAAAGUGAAAUGAAUGUUUGUUUAUCCUCAUGAAAUAUACAUCAAAACAUGUUGGUGGAAGAAGCCCUAAUGAGGAAAGGGGCCAGGUUUCCUGUUAAUUUCAGGCGAAUAGUUAACCGGAAGUGGAGGGUUUUUUCCCUUUCUUUUCUUUUCUUCUUCUUUUUUUUUUAGAAUAACCUGUCCACAGCUGUGUAUCUAGGACAUUAAUAUGGGUUUAAUGAAAACUCCAGUUGAUCUGUCCAAAGAUAUUGAUGAGCACUGCCCAGCCGUAUUAAUCAUCUCCUUGAGGGAGGAAAUUAAGGGAAUGGGCGAGCAGGUUUCUGUCAGAUGCCAAUCCCGAUGAAGAGAUGUGAAAAAAAAAUUUUUUUUAACCCUCCACAGCUGCAUCCAUUUCCUGGGAUGUCGGUGGGGCCAGGAGGGAAUAAGAAAGACCCAUGACAGCACAGGAAAUUCUGGGGCACAUGUAACGUUAAAUCAUUAAGCUUCUGCCAAUAAAUCCAUUACUGUUAAUUAUAUUGAGAUGGCCAACGAUCUGCUGACAAUAUUCCUUCAUUGAUUUUCAUUCGCAGUGAAUCGAUGUUCUGGCUUUAUUCUCUUUGGUGUUUUCAUGCUUUCAUAUCUUUCUCCUGCUCCUCAUCUCUUUCUCCCCAUGCCUGGCUCCCCACACGCAUCCCUCGCCCUUCCCCCUUGAGCUUUUGCUGUAAUGCAGUUCUCCUCUCGCUGGUGAUACGGUUCUCUCCCUAAGUGCCAAAUGUUUCUUGAU
Molecule: long non-coding RNA, 2569 nt
Organism: Equus asinus (donkey)
Lineage: Eukaryota; Metazoa; Chordata; Mammalia; Perissodactyla; Equidae
Source: Ensembl